Molecule: non-coding RNA, 64 nt
Organism: Hordeum vulgare subsp. vulgare (domesticated barley)
Lineage: Eukaryota; Viridiplantae; Streptophyta; Magnoliopsida; Poales; Poaceae
Source: Rfam
CCAAUGGCUUUACUAGGCACUUUAUUACAACAAAAGCCACAAAACAUGAUUAAUAAAUUAGAUU